This 1665-nucleotide long non-coding RNA is filed under the name Carica papaya (papaya). RNAcentral's name for it is "long non-coding RNA (CPAP_LNC010203)". The record is from RNAcentral. Lineage: Eukaryota; Viridiplantae; Streptophyta; Magnoliopsida; Brassicales; Caricaceae.
CAUCCAAUUAUUCAAAAAAAUAUAUCAUUAACAUACAUUAAUGUACCAUUAUCCAAACGUAAAAAAAUUUUGCCAUUACAUUGUAUGUUAUUGCCAUUCAAUUACUGUUAUUACUAUACAUUAAUUAACCAUCACUAGAAUUUAUCUAAAUAAAGCCUAAGUCUCAAUGACUUCCUUCCACUUCCUCUUUCCUUAGCUUGUUGCUUCAGUCUCAAUUUUUUGUUUCCUCCUAAAUCUGUCCCAUUUCUCUUCUACUUUCUUUCUCCCUCUGCUGUGCAACAUAGAUUUUCCUAUCUGUUCCUUGAUCUUCUCAAAUACUAAAAGAAAGCAUACGCCUCCCCCUCUACUCUGCCUUUGUCUUCUUCCCAUUUUGUGGAUAUGCAAAAGCCUCUCCGUUACUUUGUUUUUCUCAUCUUUUUCUUUCUUCUCCCAAAAAUCCUAACACAACCUCACCUUUUUCUUAGUCGAUUGAAGGACUGACGAAGCAAUAAAAGACGAUCCCAGAAAUAGUGUCAUUUGGUGAUUAGGCAGAAGGUGUUGAAACGAUUGAAACAAACGUUCCUUUUUAUACACUCAAAAAAAGAGGAGAAAUGAGAAAAGGACUGACGAGGCCUGCACGAAAAUAGGCCAGGCUUUGCACGCUUUCUAUCUUCAUUUUCUUUUUUGGCUCAAUUAAUUCCUUUUUCGUUCAUUUUUUUGUUUUUCUUCCUUCUUUUUUUCCUUUUUUAAUUUUUUAUUUAUCUUUUUUUCUUUCCUCUAUUUUUUUUUUUUAAAAACUACUCCUUUUUCUCUCUCAAUUUUUUUUUUUUAAUUUUCUCAUUCUUCUCUCUCUUUUCAUUCUCUGAUUUUCACUUCUCUUCAUGAUUCUCAACUUUUUUUCUUAUAUUUAAAAAAUGUUAUCAUAGUGAUAAAAACUAAUAAUUGAGAGAAUAAUGACAAAAAAAAAUUUAAUAACACAAAUUGCAAGCAAAUUAAGCAAUUUCAUGACUGAUUUAAUUUUGUUAUUAUUAUUAUUAUUAAUUUAAGGCCGGACAAAAUUAAGGUAUGAUAGGAAAACAAUUUUAAAACUUGUUUUAAAAUCCUAAUUUUGAAUGCGGAUAUGAGUAAUAAUAAAAAAGAAAGUAGAGUUUAGGCAUAAAUUUAGUGCUUUUGGUGACUAGAAAGAAGAAAAGAAGAGGAAAGAAGAAGGGGGAAGGUUGAGACCAAAGCUUCAAUUAGAGUAUUUUUUUACUUUAUCUUUCUUUUGUUCAUCAUUCUAAUAGUCCAUAAUUUUUUUAUUUUUGGGUUUUAUUUGUAUUUCUCUUUAUUCAUCUUUUAUAUUCCUUGUGAUUAUCAAGAAUUCUAUUAUUGAUGGAACCUAUUUGAUGCUUAUGAGAUGAGACUCAAGAGGGUUAAAGCAUAUGCAUGGCCUAAGAAUAAUAACCAAGUGUAGUAAGUUAAGAGGCUAUUAUUAAUAGUGAAAAUUACUUAAUGGAUAUCUAGUUUAAUUUAGUCAUUUAGGGAUAUUGGAUAAAUUUCCUAGAUGCACAUAUUUCUUUGGCAUUAGGGAGAGUGGCUGAACUAAUGAUCAGUAUCUAGGAUUUAGGAUCAAUAGUUAGAAGGGUUAUUGUAACAUCCCAAAAAUCUUCAUGCUUAAUUUAUAAUGUGAACCCCUAUUUAUUCNNN